AUGGAGGGGCUCCUGUCUGCGCUCUGCCUGCUUGGGGCAGCGAGAUGGGCCCUGGCCCAGGUGUUUCAGCCACCCCGGCUCACCACCGUGGAAGGAGGAAAGCUCCUGAUCCAAUGCAACCAGAAUGUCACUUCUGCAGACCAAAUGUCCUGGUACCAUCAGUCUCUGCAGGGGCGAGGGGGCCUGAUCUUCCUGGGGAGCGGGUUUGAUGGGACCUCAUCCGUGGGGGAAUUCACCCUGACUGUGGACAAGACCUCUCGCUUCACAAGCCUCACCCGGAACGGCACCAGGCUUCGUGACGCUGGCAUCUACUACUGUGCUGUGAGCACACAGCAAUGGGCGCAGAGGCACCAGCUGCACAAAAACCCCAGCCCAGCUUCCUGCUGA
Molecule: non-coding RNA, 387 nt
Organism: Alligator mississippiensis (American alligator)
Lineage: Eukaryota; Metazoa; Chordata; Crocodylia; Alligatoridae
Source: the annotation of a RefSeq genome assembly